Molecule: long non-coding RNA, 305 nt
Organism: Vidua chalybeata
Lineage: Eukaryota; Metazoa; Chordata; Aves; Passeriformes; Viduidae
Exons: 3
Source: RefSeq, a predicted model, not a curated record
CCGCCUCCCCGUGCUUCCCCGCCGUCUCCACUCUGACACGAUCCGCCCCCGUCCCGGACCCCCUCCGCUGCAGGGAAAUGCAGGAGAACGCGAAAGCAUCGGGGCAGAGCAGCCGCUGGAGGUGCCCGAGCCGUCUCCCCCUUGCCCGCAGGGCCGGAGUUGCCCACCGCCGGCAGCUGACAGGUCCGUGCUGGAGAGUGGGAGAAGGGUCCCUGCUGGCUGCCGUGUCCUGGGUGGGCACAGAGCUCUGACCUUGGCCAGAUGGGCUGCCGGCUGCAGUUCGGUUUCUUUCUCACAGGUUUCCG